Molecule: non-coding RNA, 44 nt
Filed under: Echinostoma caproni
Lineage: Eukaryota; Metazoa; Platyhelminthes; Trematoda; Plagiorchiida; Echinostomatidae
Source: RNAcentral
CAAUGCUGACGAGUCCCAAACAGGACGAAAUUGCUGUCCAAUGC